Molecule: long non-coding RNA, 5744 nt
Filed under: Equus caballus (horse)
Lineage: Eukaryota; Metazoa; Chordata; Mammalia; Perissodactyla; Equidae
Description: lncRNA (ENSECAG00000050546.1)
Source: RNAcentral
UAGCUGUCUCCAGCACACCACUCGACAGGUUACCUGGAAGUCUUGGCUAGUGGCGUAUUGAAGCAGAUCUGAAGUUUACGCCCAUUUAAUAAAGCCCCGUGUAUGUCCAGCUACUGCUUUGUAAAGACAACAUCCCACCCCAACUGGAUGAAUUGCAAAGGUACCAAGAUCUCAUUUAGAAAUCCUCACUAUUUUCAUGUGAUUUGAGAAAGGAUUGUAUUUAAAUGGCGUUUUGGCAUUUGGAGGGAAACAGACACGCCCUGUCGGGUGAAAUCUCAGGGAUGAUCAGUGAACAAAAACACUGUCACCAAGUAAGUAAACAGUGACAAGUUUAUAAGAUGCUGUUGGCAGUAGCUGGAUUUCUCAGCGCUGAACACUUGAGCUGGGCAUGGUGGGAGCGGCUGGUUAGCCAUUUGUCAGGCAAAGUCAAAACAGCCCUCCAGCUACAGCACAGACGGCAGUCUGCAGCUCGUCAGCAUUUUAUUUAUGACUCUUAAUUAGCAAGCAAAAAAGGAGGGAAGAAGUUCCCAGUUUGGGAUAUACAUACUUAUACAUACAUAUUUUGCCCAGAAAUUAUCUUUGUCAAAAUAAUUUAAAUCCUUACAACCCUGGGAUGUAGAUAUUAUAAUUUACAUUUUAUAGACAGGAAAUUCCAUCCUGCAAGGUUUUUGUUUUUUAAGUCCUGUGAAAUCCAAAGGACAAAGUGUGUCUAUUUAUUCUCAAGGAUUCCAAGCCUCACUAAAGGAUGAACUGGAAGGCCACAGCUUCCAAACCCUCUGAGGAGGUGUGGUUGGCAUUGUGGAGAUGGCCAGUAUUUCUGGUUCUCUCCUCCUGCAGGGACAUGAAAAGAUCGCACUUCUCCAUCCCCCUGAAGGGUUUGAGCAACCCACCAGGGCAGCAGUACUCUGCCACCAGGGCAUCCAGCAUCAUGGAGCCUCAGAGAACACUGCUGCUCCUUCUUUUGCAUGGAGAAAGGGGCAAAAGGGAGUGAACCAGCGAACACACAAGUGUACCCAUGUGGUCUUCAUAGAAAGAUAUCACAUAGGGCAGAAGAUUUCAGGAAGAAAAAAGAAAAAAAAGAAAUCUUUUCAAAUCCAUUUAAAACAAUCCGUGCAGCUGUUUCCUGAACUCUCCAGAAGAACUGAGAUGCAAAAUGCUAUAUCUCCUCUCCAUCACUCCCCCCACCCCCACCCUGCUAACUGGCUUUCAGGUGACGCAAUGAUGAGACCUCUGCGGUGAGCUCUGUCUGGAGGGAUGCAGCCAGCUAACAAAGCAUGGGGUGCUGCCACCUCUUGGAUGUUCGUAGCCAAAGCAAGGCUCUGUCCCAGAAAGGAUGUAUUUCGGUGAUAUUAUGAAAUGUUAACGGGCAAUCUGUUCUGAAAUAAUUGCUCAGUGUGUUGGCCUCCUUUUCCAUUUUAGAAAUUCAAAGGCAUUGCAGGCCAAAAGCAGUGCCAGCCUGUUAGUGGUACCUACAUUGAUUAAAUCUAGCCCAUCACAACCACAGCUACACAAAAGCUCUUUUUCUCAAUUAAUAAAACGCAAUUAAUGGUAUCAUUGAAAAACUCCUGCCACUUCAAUUUAGAGCUAUGUACAGCUUCAAUUUAGAGCUGGGGGCAAAUUUUAGGAUAUGCUUUUUUUAGCUAACAUGAUUAACAGCACCUAAUUUCUGGGAUACACCCAAAUUUCUGCAGGGAAGAAAGAACGUUUACCAGAAACAUAUACAAUAAUGACAGCUUUCUUCCCCUUCUUUCCCUACACACACACACACACACACACACAGGCUCACACAUAUGCAACUCAAUUCAGUUCCAGUUAUUUGGUGGUCACACUGUCUCCCUUGCCUGUGGGAAACCUGAUAUGUCCACGCUGGAGAUAUCCAGGGUGCUCUGAAGUAGGAUACAAAGUCUAAGUCCUUUAUUGCAUGAUGGCUCUUUUGAAAUAUUUAUAUUGAUCAGCCCAGUUCCUGAGAGGAAAUACCUUGUUUCUCUUAUUCUCCCAGGUAUAGGUCAUUUGAGCUGUUGGGUUGUCAUUUUUUUAAUCUCCUCAUUUCCCUAAGGAUGGUGAGAGGAUGAUUUAAACGGCAACAUUAGCUGCUUUAGGCUAAAUUUUCAAAGCUACACCAGGGGAGUUAAAAGCGCAAAUCCUGUUAUUGUUACCGGAUUAAUGCACAGAAGUCCCAGAAUGCCACUUUGGAAAUGUAGCCAAGGAAUAUUAUUUUAAUGUACUGUAUGUUAUUUUUAGACUCAACCAUAGCCCAAUUAUCAGCUGGCAUAUCAAAAAUGAAACAAGACAGAUAGCUGUCUUUAAUCCAAAAUUCUAAUGAGGUUUUUGAUGUUUGUGUUUUCUCAUCACUUAGAAAUCUGGAUAUUUGGAGAAAAAAGUAAAAGAAACUACAACGGCUACCUCCUACCUGCUCUGUUGCUAUAGAGGCUGCUACUUAGAGUACUGGUUCUAUAGAAUAUUUUAUCACGGUUUUUUUUUUUUCCUUGGAGAGGCAGGUGGUAGGAAAGGAGGUAUUAAAUCAUUGAGACCUCUUGACCACACCAUAAAAAGCUGCAAAUCAACCACAGCAUACUAAUGAUUUCAAGGCAGCAAGUCAGGGUUCCUGCCACCAGUCAUUUCUAUUUCUGCUUUUACACAUCUUAGAUUGUUAUUUAAAAAUAACUAUCUGCAAAAGGUCUUCCAGUUGGAGUAACUUUGCUUCCAAGUUGCCCUGUGGGCAUCAACCAACAUUUAUUGAUUCUCUAGACGCCUGCUGUUGGGUUUUAUUAAACUGGGCCUGUCUUUCCUUUUGACCUCCGGGUAAUUGCAUGGAUCAGGAAUGACCACUUCACUGUGUCUUGGCUACAUCUACUCUGCUAGAUGAUGGCCCCCAGAAGAACUCUUGCCUUUCCGUUAAUCAAGAAAUCCUCUACACCAGUCGUUCCUCUCACUAAUUUUAAAAUCCCAGAGCAUCUUUUGCUAUCUCAAAAGGUAUUGCAUCUUUCUAAAAGGAACAAGCACGCUUGCACAGACCUGUUUUUGUGUGGGGCACAGUGGUGGGCCGUAUCCCCACUUCCGUAAACUCCAGGAUUUCACUUGGUCAGUAAAGACAGUUUCACUUGGAACUCUCUCUGUCUUUGGCCACCAAGGACUCGCAGAUCCCAGAGCCAUCUCAGCAAAGAGAACCAAACCCCUUUGGCACCACAGUGACCACCAGGCCUGACCUUGCUUUUCGGAGCAGAUGUGAGGAGAAUUAAAUGAGUAACGUUCUAAGAAGCACUCAGCACAGUGCUUGGCACACUGUAGGCUCCUCUGAGUUAAGGAAGGCACAGCACCAACAAUUUUUAAAAUUCAUCUUUUAUAUUUAUGUGCAUUUUUCAAUUUACAAAAUUAUUUUUACACAUUAUUUCAUCAGCAAUACAGUGAUGAGCCUCGUUAAUGCCUGCGGUGUGUACUUGAUGUGCAUUUAAUGUGGAGCUGACUCAAGUUACAUGUCGGCUUUUCCCGUGUCGUUUGUACAAAGAGGUUGGGCUAUAAAUAGGACUGAAAUGAAAUUCUGCACUUCAGUUUCUGGGGCGUUAUUCACAUCAUAACUACUAUUCAUCUGUGUUUCAUCAUCUCUGAAAUGGAAGUGAUUGGAGCCUAGACACUCAAAAACCAGAAGAGCGCUCCCAGUUGUAUAUCUGAAAAUUUUAAAAUAGAUUAAUUAAUAAUUCUUAUGAAUAUUUGCUAUUGGUAUAACAAUAAAUUAAGCACUAUGCUAUAUAUACUUUAUGAAUAGUUCCUCCUCUCAAGGAACACUCAUCUAAGAACUACCAGGAUACUUGUGUACACCUAUACUUUAUCAAGAAUAAAAACUUACCAGCACCUAACACAGUAGCACACCUCAUACUUUAUAAUUCCACAUAUUCAUGGAAUAAAUACGUAAAUGAAUGAACACUGUGAAUCACUAAAGAUGAAUUUCAGUGUCAGUUGGUGCAAGUAGAGAGAUCUGAGAACUCAUUGCCCCAUCUGUAAAAUGAGAGCACUAGCACUGCAUUGGAGAAUUAUUAUGAGGAUAAAGUGAGACAAUGUAUGCUAGGCAGCCUUCCAAAAUAGCUCUCAAUGAUCCUCGCCUCCUGGUUUUCAUGACCUGUGUAAUCCCCUGCCCUUAAGUGUGAACUGGUGAUGUGCUUCUAACUAACAGAAUAUGGCAGAGGUGGUGGGAUGUCACUUCUGUGAUUAGGUUACAAAGACUAUCACUUCCAUCUUGCUAGUGUUCUCUCUCUUGCUGGCACUCUCUCUUGCUCUCUUGCCUAUGAGAUGCUCAGAUGGCAAGGGACUGAGGUAGAUCUCUGACCAAAAGCUUGUGAGGAACUGAGGCUUUAGUUCAACAGCACUUGGGGUUCUAAAUCCUGCCCAAAACCACGAGUGAAAGCAAAUUCUCCCCUAGUCAAGCCUUGAGAUGACCACAUGCCUAAGUAGCACCUUGAUUGUGGCCUUGUGAGAGACCCUAAAGCUGAGGACCCAGUCAAGCCACACAAGGACUCCGGACCCACAGAAACUGGGAGAUAAUUAAUGUUGUUUUAAGGCAAUUUUGGUUUUUGGGUAAUUCGCUAUGCUGCAGCAAUAGGUAACUAAUACCAGGCCCUAUCACACCAUGGCUUUUUUAAAGUAUUCACUUUAUAGAAGCCAUUUUAUUAUAUAGCAGGGUUGUAAAUUAAAGUGAGCUUGUCUACAGGACUAGAGUUUUUACAGCUAGCAAAGAGAAUCACAGAGUUGCCCUUACUAAGGAGAAGAGCUAACUAGUUAGACAGUGGAAGGGAAUGACUGGGAUCUGUUCUGCUGAUAAUCUAUCUCCUCAGCAAACACCAAGACUAGAUCUGAAUUGCAACCAGUUCCAAACAGCAGUGAUGAAAGAAUGUCUCCAAUUACACAACUGGUGGGCAAAGACGCAGUUAAAUUCAUCACUGCUGAGCAGGGGUUGAAAUGGCAGUGGUCUCCUAUAACCACUUCCAUAAAACAUUGGGAAACACGGUUGUUUAGUGUGAACCCGGGCCUUGCAGAAAUUAAAUGAUUCCCUCAGCAGUCCUAUUUUGAACUGUUCUCAUCCCCUGCUGUAGACAGUUGGCUCUUAAUCCAUUUUAUAGAAGCACUUUCUGUUCCUUGGAUAAAAGGAAGUACAUAAAUUUCAAGUGCCAUAUUACCAUACAUGCUUGGUUCUGUUUGGGCACAAGCACGUUGUUCUUGUCAUAAAUUCUGACUCAGAAUGGGCGCUCAGGAUUUACCAUCUCACUCUUUAUAGUUACAAGAUCGACUAAACUGAUUACGAGAAGAAAUAUGUAAGCUUUGAAACUGUUCACACCAGUGAUGUGGCUCAGUAGCUUAUACAAGUGGCAAAUAACAGUCAGCCAAAAGAAGAAAAUUUCAGGAGAGACAAGGCUCCUAAAAACACAGGGUCGGUUGUGUUCAGAACUCAGGAGCAGUUGGUUCUCUUUGAAGCCUGGAAUACUUUCUCUACUCCCUGUUGUUGGACUACGGUCCUUGGAAGCAUGGGUUUAUCGCCGUGUAGUUCUCCCUCCAUCACACUGGAGUUUCUAAGGCCCUUCUCUUCUCCGGGGGGUGGCACCCCUAGUAAGUGAGGGGCAGUCAUUCUGGGGAAUGGAAUUUUCUCAAAUCCUCUACAUCUUCAGCUACAGAUUGUGUGUGUGUGUGUGUGUGUGUAUGAAUAUGUUGGUUUGGAUUGGUCGUUUUAGCUACUCAAGAGGGAUCUUGAGCCCCAC